RNAcentral lists this ribosomal RNA (51 nucleotides) under Pseudidiomarina indica. Its description in RNAcentral is "Idiomarina indica 23S rRNA. Bacterial LSU". The record is from RNAcentral. Lineage: Bacteria; Pseudomonadati; Pseudomonadota; Gammaproteobacteria; Alteromonadales; Idiomarinaceae.
GUAGUAAUGCGUUGAGCUAACCCGUACUAAUUGCCCGUGAGGCUUAACCAU